GGAGAGGUGGCUGAGCGGUCGAAAGCGACGGUUUGCUAAAUCGUUGAGGGGCGAAAGCUCCUCCGGGGGUUCGAAUCCCCCCCUCUCCGCCA
This 92-nucleotide transfer RNA is filed under the name Planctomycetota bacterium. Its description in RNAcentral is "tRNA-Ser". It matches the Rfam family "tRNA". Rfam says of the family: Transfer RNA (tRNA) molecules are approximately 80 nucleotides in length. The record is from RNAcentral. RNAcentral also lists the same sequence under 2 other names. Lineage: Bacteria; Pseudomonadati; Planctomycetota.